RNAcentral lists this ribosomal RNA (397 nucleotides) under uncultured bacterium. RNAcentral describes it as "partial 16S ribosomal RNA". It matches the Rfam family "Bacterial small subunit ribosomal RNA", at positions 523 to 918 of the family's 1533-position model. The record is from RNAcentral.
AUACGGAGGCCAAGAGCGUUGUUCGGAUUUACUGGGCGUAAAGGGCGCGUAGGCGGUCUUGCGUGUCAAGUGUGAAAUCUCCGGGCCCAACCCGGAAAGUGCGCUUGAAACUACAGGACUCGAGUCUGGGAGAGGGAAUCGGAAUGCGGGGUGUAGCGGUGAAAUGCGUUGAUAUCCUGCAGAACACCGGAGGCGAAGGCGGAUUCCUUGAACAGCACUGACGCUGAGGCGCGAAAGUCGGGGGAGCAAACAGGAUUAGAUACCCUGGUAGUCCCGACCUUAAACGGUGCACACUCGGGGUGGGGCCAUUUCACCGGCCCCGUCCCUUAGCUAACGCGUUAAGUGUGCCGCCUGGGGAGUACGGCCGCAAGGCUAAAACUCAAAGGAAUUGACGGGG